RNAcentral lists this ribosomal RNA (460 nucleotides) under uncultured bacterium. RNAcentral describes it as "partial 16S ribosomal RNA". It matches the Rfam family "Bacterial small subunit ribosomal RNA", at positions 338 to 795 of the family's 1533-position model. The record is from RNAcentral.
CCUACGGGAGGCAGCAGUGAGGAAUAUUGGUCAAUGGACGAGAGUCUGAACCAGCCAAGUAGCGUGAAGGAUGACUGCCCUAUGGGUUGUAAACUUCUUUUAUAUGGGAAUAAAACAGGGUAUGCAUACCCUCUUGUAUGUACCAUAUGAAUAAGGAUCGGCUAACUCCGUGCCAGCAGCCGCGGUAAUACGGAGGAUCCGAGCGUUAUCCGGAUUUAUUGGGUUUAAAGGGAGCGUAGGUGGAUUGUUAAGUCAGUUGUGAAAGUUUGCGGCUCAACCGUAAAAUUGCAGUUGAAACUGGCAGUCGUGAGUACAGUAGAGGUGGGUGGAAUUCGUGGUGUAGCGGUGAAAUGCUUAGAUAUCACGAAGAACUCCGAUUGCGAAGGCAGCUCACUGGACUGCAACUGACACUGAGGCUCGAAAGUGUGGGUAUCAAACAGGAUUAGAUACCCCAGUAGUC